UCACCCAGCUGUUAUGCCGCUUCUGCCUGCAAGAUGAGAAAGACACCUCCCCUUCCCAGAGGGUGCGUCACCGGAGCAGAUGCCCGGGGCGGUUGGAGGCUCCCGGGCUCCCGCUGACUCAUCAGAAAGGCCUGCCGCGCGGCCCGGGGGGCGGGGGAACGUGGGGGACCGCGGGGAGCUGCCGGGCAGGCGGCAGCCGAGGUCGUUUGAGGCGCGCAGAGCCGGAAAACCCCACGGAGACGGCUGGGCGGGGGCGGGGCGAUCGGCACUGACCAGGUCACCUGCAGCGCGGGCUGACGGCGGGCGACUGAAGGAGGGAGCAAGUCUCCCACCCCCAGCAGCCGGCGGCCGCUUCCGAAGUCUGCCCCCUUCCACUGCGGAGCGGCGCCCCGCGGGCCCCCAGCCAGCGCGCCCGAGGCGCCCCCGCCCCGUGUCGCUCGCGCUGCGUUAUUGGGAGAAGGCGGUUCCUGAGCACCAGCACGGGCCUCGGUGACACCGGAGGUCGCUGGGGUCUUCCCCUUCCCCUUAAGACUCUGGGUCUGUCUGUGGGAAGAGCUUUCAUUCCCCACCCCACUCUAUGCCGACCCUCUCCGGGGGAGGCUCCACUGGCACUGUAGACACCACGUGCUGGGUAAAAAGGCCUGGUCCCAGCGCUUCCCUGUCACUGACUGCUAACCACAAGGCGCCGUGGCACUCAGGAAAUGCGGCAGGGGGGCUGGAGAACUAUCAGGAAGGGGUGUGGGCAGAGAAGAGGCUUCCACCCUGUCUUGGAACACGGACACAGUCCAUGGCAUUCAAAAGAGGUGGGAGGCUCCUCUGUGCACGUGCCACUGAUGGAGAUGGUCACCAGGGAGUGUCCAGGUCAGACCGCCACAGAAGAGUGCAGCCUCCUGGCCUUCAGACCCAACUGGGACAAACCCUGAGAACAGCCUUGGCAGACCUCCAGGGGCAGCUGGACUCCCUGAGGCUGGAUGUUGCAGCCUCUCCCAGGCAUCCACUCUGCAGCUGAGGCCAAAGUUUCCAACGGGAAGGGAGGGUUUCUCAUCAACCCCACAUCCCUGCAGGGGGCCCCAAGGCGGAUGUGUCACCAUCCUCUGCAACGCUGGGCCUCAGAGGUGGAGGAGGCCCAGCCAUGGCCAGAUGGGGGAUCUGGGGAACAGGUCCUCUGCUUUCUGGGAAAAUAGAGGAGAGUCUCCGAGUCUGGGCCUUGCCACUCCUCACUCAGCAUCUGACCAUCCCCACCUCCUGGAUCUACAGGGUUCAUAGAGGAGGACCCAGAAGAGGGAAAGUCAGGCUGAGGAACUUGGCCUCCCUGCUGCAAGGGAAAUGACAUCGGUUACCAAGGAGGUGACCAGCUAUCCUUUUCCAAGACUGAAAAGCAGAAAUACGGCCCUGAGGCUAGAGGGUCUAAGAGAACAAUAGGAAGAAUUUCCUGACAAAGGACAAUGUUGCCUAAAGGACUCAGGAAGCUCUGUGAAAACAGGAGACUCCCGAGCAGAGCACCAGACCCUUCUCCACCAGGCAGUGUUUUUCCCAUAUGACAGGUGAGAAAACUGAGGCUGAGAGACAUGUAAUAACUUGCUGAAGCAGCAACCAGCACACCAUAUAGCUGAAAUCUGUAGAUCAGCAGUUAAAAGUGGUAGGGCAAGUCCUCUCUGACUUUCAGCGCUAAGAGCCUAGGAUUCUGUGUUUUUCUGCUUAAGCCUGGGAAUCAGAGUCCUACAAAAGCCGCGCCUAAUCCUGGGGGUGUGGGCUUUAAACCCAGAGAGAAAGCAUGUUAUUGGAAUACUCCUGCACUUUUCUCCCUUUGAAUCCCACCACGGAAAGAAAAUUCUGUGACGUGUACCCAGUAUUUAUUGGAGGGUAUUUCCUAGCAAGAAAAUGAGGGCGAUUGACCAGGCACGGUGGCUCACGCCUGUAAUCCCAGCACUUUGGGAGGUCAAGGUGAGUGGAUCACAUGAGGUCAGGAGUUCGAGACCAGCCUGACCAACAUGGAGAAACCCCGUCUCUACUAAAAAUACAAAAUUAGCCGGGCGUGGGGUGGCGCAUGCCUGUAAUUCCAGCUACUCCUGAGGCUGUGGCAGCAGAAUCGCUUGAACCCGGGAGACAGAGGUUGCAGUGAGUUGAGAUCAAGCCAUCGCACUCCAGCCUGGGCAACAGAGUGAGACUCUGUCAAAAAAGAAAGUGUGGUACAUCUAUACUAAUGGAGUACUAUUUAGCCGUCAAAGAAAAAAAAGAAAAGAAAAAGAAAGAGAAAGAAAGAAAGAAGGAAAGAAAGAAAGAAAAAGAAAAUGAAGGCGAUUGUCAACAGCCUCUGGAAAUACAGAGCAGGGUCCAGAAAUGGCCCCUUCUUAGAUGGCGGGCUGGACAGUGCUGCUCCUUCUUAGCCACUGGCGGCAGAAAGACAAAGCCUGGUAAUUGUUCUUGGGAUUCUCCCUGUCACCUCUCCUUGUAGGUCACAAGCUUCCUGAUGCGACAGCCCGUGGGACUACUAGAAGGAAAGAUACUCCUUUUCCCAUUUUACAGAUCAGGAAACUGAGACUGGACAGAAACACCACCAGGAUUGAACUGUGAAUGGAUCUGACUCCAACCCACAAAUUCUUCACCUGGUCUCGAAAAGAGGCCCUGGCAACCUACUGCGCACCAGAGGGGAACCCGCCCGCCGUCCCAGGCCGGGCUCUCCCUGCUGCGGAGCGGCCCGGGCGCGGCGGGACAGGGAACGGAAGGAACGGGCUUGGCGCGCACUCGCCGAGGCCCAGGCAGGAUUCGAGCGCCAGGGAGGCGCCCAUUUCCCUUCCCCCGCGCCUGGGAACGCGGUGCUGGGGGCGGGGCCCGACCGCUGCCCCCUCCAAACGCCUCGACCGCCAGGUGCCCCGAAGCCCGGCCUCCCCUCCCACCCCCGCGCCUGUUCCCGGCGCAGCCCGAGCCGUGGCAGUCACGUCUCCCCAUCCGGCCC
Molecule: long non-coding RNA, 2956 nt
Filed under: Homo sapiens (human)
Lineage: Eukaryota; Metazoa; Chordata; Mammalia; Primates; Hominidae
Description: non-protein coding GASAL1:18
Source: RNAcentral